This 825-nucleotide ribosomal RNA is filed under the name Triticum aestivum (bread wheat). RNAcentral describes it as "partial small subunit ribosomal RNA". Lineage: Eukaryota; Viridiplantae; Streptophyta; Magnoliopsida; Poales; Poaceae. The record is from RNAcentral.
AUGGACGGCGUGGUGGUGGUGUUCGACUUCGACAAGACCAUCAUCGACGUCGACAGCGACAACUGGGUCGUCGACGGCCUCGGCGCCACGGAGCUCUUCGACCGCCUCCUGCCCACCAUGCCGUGGAACACCCUCAUCGACACCGUCAUGGGGGAGCUGCACGCGCAGGGCAGGACCCUCCGCGACGUCGCCGACGUGCUCCGUGCCGCGCCCAUCGACCCGCACGUCGUCGCCGCCAUCAGGGCCGCCCACAGCCUCGGUUGCGACCUCCGGGUCCUCAGCGACGCCAACCGCUUCUUCAUCGAGGCCGUCCUCGACCACCACGGCCUCCGGGGCUGCUUCUCCGAGAUCAACACCAACCCCAGCCGCGUCGACGCCGACGGCCGCCUCCGCAUCGCGCCGCACCACGACUUCCACGCCGGCCCGCACGGCUGCGGCCUCGGCACAUGCCCGCCCAACAUGUGCAAGGGCCAGGUGCUCGACCGCAUCCGCGCCUCCGCCGCGGCGGACGGCGGCAGGAAGCGCUUCAUCUACCUCGGCGACGGCCGCGGUGACUACUGCCCGUCUCUGCGGCUCGCCAGGGAGGACUUCAUGAUGCCGCGCAAGGGGUUCCCCGUGUGGGACCUCAUCUGCGAGAACCCGGGCCUGCUCCAGGCCGAGGUGCACCCGUGGAGCGAUGGCAAGGACAUGGAGGAGACGCUGCUGCGGCUCAUCAGCCGGGUGCUCGUCGAGGAGAGCACACUGCUGCCGCUCGACUGCAAGCUCGAGUCGCUGCCGGUGGCCGUCCACGACGGCAUGCCCAUGCCGCUCGGCGUCAAGAACUGA